Molecule: long non-coding RNA, 474 nt
Organism: Mesocricetus auratus (golden hamster)
Lineage: Eukaryota; Metazoa; Chordata; Mammalia; Rodentia; Cricetidae
Exons: 3
Source: RefSeq, a predicted model, not a curated record
CCACAAUGAACCAAUGUAACUUCUUGUGCCAAGGAGCCAGAUGGUACCGCUGGAAAAAAUUAAGUCUACAGAUUGGCAGCUCGACCCUAUGGCAUCACUUGCUCAAGAGAAGAAUCUAAGGAUCACGACGCACACAGUCAUGACGUCUAUCAAGGCUUGCUUUCUAUUGCUGGGAUAAAAGGCCAUGGCCAAAAUCAGCCUGAGUGUCAAGUUGACAGGAAGGAAGGAAGGAAGGAAGGAAGGAAGGAAGGAAGGAAGGAAGGAAGGAGCACAAAGUCUAUCACUCAUCCUUCCCCAUGUCUGUCGAGGCUCUCAAUGCCCUUGGCUCUGCCCACCACGUUGAACAAUGAUCUUCAGCUGGGCCUUUCUCAGGCCUUUGCCUCUGAGAAGUGCACCAAGCCCCCAUGGCCCGUCUUCCUUCUCCACUUCCAGCUGUUCUGACACAACAAAUUAAAUUCUGUGUUUAUUCGUGUG